RNAcentral lists this ribosomal RNA (690 nucleotides) under uncultured bacterium. Its description in RNAcentral is "bacterial SSU rRNA". It matches the Rfam family "Bacterial small subunit ribosomal RNA", at positions 173 to 883 of the family's 1533-position model. The record is from RNAcentral.
CAUAGCGGAACCGCAUGGUUUUGUUAUCAAAGAUUUUAUCGCUGAUAGAUGGGCUCGCGUCCGAUUAGAUAGUUGGUGGGGUAACGGCCUACCAAGUCGACGAUCGGUAGCCGGACUGAGAGGUCGAACGGCCACAUUGGGACUGAGACACGGCCCAGACUCCUACGGGAGGCAGCAGUGGGGGAUAUUGCACAAUGGGGGAAACCCUGAUGCAGCGACGCCGCGUGAGGGAAGACGGUCCUCUGGAUUGUAAACCUCUGUCUUCGGGGACGAAACGAGACGGUACCCGAGGAGGAAGCCACGGCUAACUACGUGCCAGCAGCCGCGGUAAUACGUAGGUGGCAAGCGUUGUCCGGAAUUACUGGGUGUAAAGGGAGCGUAGGCGGGCAGGCAAGUCAGGCGUGAAAUAUAUCGGCUCAACCGGUAACGGCGCUUGAAACUGCAGGUCUUGAGUGAAGUAGAGGUUGGCGGAAUUCCUAGUGUAGCGGUGAAAUGCGUAGAUAUUAGGAGGAACACCAGUGGCGAAGGCGGCCAACUGGGCUUUUACUGACGCUGAGGCUCGAAAGUGUGGGGAGCAAACAGGAUUAGAUACCCUGGUAGUCCACACCGUAAACGAUGAUUACUAGGUGUGGGGGGACUGACCCCUUCCGUGCCGGAGUUAACACAAUAAGUAAUCCACCUGGGGAGUAC